RNAcentral lists this ribosomal RNA (255 nucleotides) under Mycoplasma mycoides. Its description in RNAcentral is "partial 23S ribosomal RNA". It matches the Rfam family "Bacterial large subunit ribosomal RNA", at positions 1261 to 1522 of the family's 2925-position model. The record is from RNAcentral. Lineage: Bacteria; Bacillati; Mycoplasmatota; Mollicutes; Mycoplasmatales; Mycoplasmataceae.
CUGUGAAGACUGGUGGAGUGUUUAGAAGUGAUUAUGCCGGCAUGAGUAACGUUUGGAAGUGAGAAUCUUCCAUGCCGUUUGACCAAGGUUUCCUGGGCAAGGUUCGUCCACCCAGGGUUAGUCAGGACCUAAGGCGAGGCUGAAAAGCGUAGUCGAUGGACAACAGGUUGAUAUUCCUGUACCAGUUAAUUAGUGAUGGAGUGACGAAGAAGGAUAGUAUAUCCCGGGUGCUGGAUGUCCCGGGCUAAGCACAAA